This 110-nucleotide non-coding RNA is filed under the name Virgibacillus sp. SK37. Its description in RNAcentral is "TPP riboswitch aptamer (THI element)". It matches the Rfam family "TPP riboswitch aptamer (THI element)". Rfam says of the family: Vitamin B(1) in its active form thiamin pyrophosphate (TPP) is an essential coenzyme that is synthesised by coupling of pyrimidine and thiazole moieties in bacteria. RNAcentral also lists the same sequence under 1 other name. Lineage: Bacteria; Bacillati; Bacillota; Bacilli; Caryophanales; Bacillaceae. The record is from Rfam by way of RNAcentral.
AUGAUCCACUUGGGGUGCCUUUAUAAGGGCUGAGAUUAAAGUGACUAACUUUGAAACUCAAUGAACUUGAGACGGGUAAUACCGUCGUAAGGAAGUGGCAGUAAUUGAUA